GAAAAUUAAAAAAAAAUUUUGUUAUCUGUUUUACGUGAUAACGUCAUAAAGAAACAUUGAUGAAAAAUUGCAUACUUUUAUGAAUUGAAAUGAAUUAUUAUCACUGAAUUAUCAUUAUUUUGUAUUUAAAAAUUUAAAAAUUUAUUUUAACAAAAAAAAG
Molecule: long non-coding RNA, 160 nt
Filed under: Cotesia glomerata
Lineage: Eukaryota; Metazoa; Arthropoda; Insecta; Hymenoptera; Braconidae
Description: uncharacterized LOC123264890
Source: RNAcentral